Molecule: non-coding RNA, 45 nt
Filed under: Marmota monax (woodchuck)
Lineage: Eukaryota; Metazoa; Chordata; Mammalia; Rodentia; Sciuridae
Rfam family: Histone 3' UTR stem-loop
About the family: The mRNAs of metazoan histone genes lack a poly-A tail. 3' end processing occurs at a site between a highly conserved stem-loop (modelled by this family) and a purine rich region around 20 nts downstream (the histone downstream element, or HDE).
Source: RNAcentral
GCAAAGGCUCUUCUAAGAGCCACCCACUUUGCUGAAACAGCUGUA